AGCAGAUGGCCUCCGCCCCCACCCCCGGGAGGAUUUCUUAAUGGUGUGCAAGUGCCACUCCCCGAAGCCAGGGUUUCCGGACCCCCGGGGCCGAGCUGGGCGCGGGAGCCCCGCAGGGGCGGAGAGGCCGGCCGAGCCUGAAGAAGUGGAGGAGAGACCUACACAACUUCAGUGGGGUGUCCCCAUCCCGUCUUCCUGCUCGCCCUCCUUUGCCCCCAACUCCAUCUCUGAGACAUCCUGCCCUCCCCCGCCCCCCAAAAAGAAGUCACUCCAGGGCUCUGUCUGCAGAGAGCCAGGGUGAGAGCGGGCAAGGCGAGAGAGCGACCUCGGUCGUGGGCAAGUAGCUUGUUUUUACGUCCUUCAAUAAAAAUUUUAUGAGGAUCA
Long non-coding RNA from Balaenoptera acutorostrata (minke whale), 384 nucleotides. RefSeq lists it as uncharacterized. The record is from RefSeq and is a predicted model, not a curated record. Lineage: Eukaryota; Metazoa; Chordata; Mammalia; Artiodactyla; Balaenopteridae. The transcript has 2 exons.